Small nucleolar RNA from Ailuropoda melanoleuca (giant panda), 75 nucleotides. Lineage: Eukaryota; Metazoa; Chordata; Mammalia; Carnivora; Ursidae. The record is from Ensembl.
UGGAUCAGUGAUGAUAACUGCCGGCGUAUGAAUCAUGGAUGAUGAAUGAUACAUGUCUGGAACUCUGAGGUCCAG